This 7563-nucleotide long non-coding RNA is filed under the name Selaginella moellendorffii. RNAcentral describes it as "long non-coding RNA (SMOE_LNC000717)". The record is from RNAcentral. Lineage: Eukaryota; Viridiplantae; Streptophyta; Lycopodiopsida; Selaginellales; Selaginellaceae.
CCGUCAGUCCUCUAUAUCCCUGUCCCGGAUUUUCCUUCCUUUCGUGCUCUCCGACUGAUCUUACAAUUGAAUGUUUUCCAGAAGAAGCAGCUGAAGCGAUUGGGAAUUCAACCUUCUUCUGCUCCGUUGCUAAGAACACCGUGAACACCGUUACUUCCACGGGUGGCGGAUUUUUCAAUGAUGAGCAGCAGCAACAUUUCUCGGGAUUCCCUGUGGUCGGAUACUUCCACAAGUUUCAAGCUCGAGGAGGCUGCCAGUACACCUACAGCAACUCCACCAAUUUGGCUCUUCCGGAGUCUGAGAGGCUCGUCUGCGGCUGGGACUUCCGUGCUUAUGGCCAAUUCUGGUUCCACGUCUCUAUAGCUAUCUCCAUCAGCGAUGUUGGCAACUUUAUCCGAGACGUGAAGCAGUUGAGAGACUUGUCGCCAGAACGUCUCUGUCUGCUUGACACUUCCAUGACAUUAUUCAUUAGAUACUUGAAAGCUUCUCAGGCUUACCUUGGACCGAAGACUGACGCAGCAGAGAUUGAGUUCAUGACGUUCCGAGACAGGAGGCCAGGGGAACCACAGACGUACGAGGACGUUGCUGAGGAGAUAGAGCAGCUUUUACUGUUUAAGUAUAACGGGAAGCCACACUUCGGGAAGAACAGGCCGCAUGCAUUCCGGGACAUUGGAAGGAAGACGAAGAAUUUGUCUAAGUUUCUUUCGGCUAGGAGGAAGUUGGAUCCACAAGGAUGGUUUUCAAGUGAUUGGUCUGACUCAGUGCUGGGAAUCCGAGGAAGUCCGGUGACAGCAAAGGAUGGAUGUGCUUUGGAAGGACUGUGUGUUUGCAGCGAAGCCAGGCACUGUGCUCCAGACAAAGGAUAUUUUUGCAGACCAGGACUUGUUUAUCGCGAGGCAAGAGUCUGUAGCAAUAGAAGUUAAGAUGCAUCAUUUCUCCUUGUUUGUUGUUCAGGUCUGAGAUGUGCUCAGUAAUUGUUUUAGUGUAAGGAAUAUACUUAAAAUAUCAGAUUAUAUUUUUUAAAGAAUCAAGAAGGUCAACAAGUUAAAAAGUCAAAAAAAUUAUUCCAGACAGUUCCUCUUCUUCGUUGAGCCUGCCCUCUGCAAUACGUCUCUAACUAUAGAAGUCGUCCAUCUCUGGCAUCCCCUUCAAGAAAAAAAUCUCUGGCCUUGAUCAUCCUCCUGUUCUUGAGCUAGGCUGUCGUCCUCUCACAUUGAGGAUCUCCCUUGCAGCAGCCAAAUACUCCAGCUUGGGCGAUCAUUGUUGCCCGUGACACAAUGUCUCUCUUGGGCCCAAUCUAGCUCUUGUUCGUCCUAUAACCUUGUUAACCGCUUUGAGGAAUUCUUAACAGUUUAUCCAGAUAAAUAUUUUAAAUUUAUAUCUAUCAAUAAGCUACCUAGAGUUUUUCUUUGCUGUAGAUUGAAAGGAGGUAGCAGGUCAGCAUCAAUGAGGGUAAGUCAAGAAGAAGGUGGAGUUGAACCCACAAUCAACUUAUAUGUGGAUUUAAACAGUUUUAAAUAGAUAUGAUAUAGCUUCAGCUCAAGCCAAUCAAGUAUCUCACUUAGAUCAAACAAAAACUGCGAGCGAGCAUUCUCCCAGACUCCCUGAAUAUCUGGGGUUUGUACAACUUAAGGGUUUAUUUAGAAUAUUCAUUAAUUUGUUGAGGAAAAUUUUUAAAAAAUGUACCAAAUUAUGAAAAGAGGAAUAAAAGGAAAUAACUAAAAAUAUUAUCCUAAUUUUUUAUUUUUUUUGGAAACCCUAAAAAACACAUAAUUUAGUGCCCUAAUGACCGAUUUUUAAAGUGUUUUUAGAGUGGGAUAAAAGAACCUUUAAAUUGCACACCCAUCAAAACUUUAAUGACCUGUAGAACUAUGGAGUUUUAUCUCCAAUGCUUGAUAGGUUGUCUUAGCUGGGCAGGAGAUGAUGUUCCUCUUCUUUGUUUGCACUAGAGAAAUUUGAGAUUUCACUCAUUGUGAAUCAUUAAUAUGAUAUAAUUAUAUGAAAUCUUUAUUGGCAAUCUCAACUUAUGUGGCAAAGCGAUAUGUGCCAAAUAAUGGUAUUUUUGAAGCCCUACAGUGAGGCCAGUUACUUGAAAUUACUACGCUGAUAGGCACUAGCAUUUCUAGGAGAAUACUAAUUCAGUAAUUAACAAUCUCUUUUGAUUUUUCAAGAUUUUACAAGAGUUUCAUUUGAAUUUCAUUAACUAUGAAAUUCAAUUUUUCUCUACUGUGGAGUUUGAUCAAGGUUUACUUGACUCAAAUCUUUCUUUCUCCUUGACUGCAUUGCUUUACUUGCGGGAAGUGACAGGAUGGAAUUUUACAAGCAUUUUGAAGGAUUGGUGCUCCCAGUGAUAGAUAGGCCGCAAAGACAAAUGGCCUUCAUUGACUGAUUCUUGCUUUCAUACCACCAAGUAACAUAGGGUUUGUCAACCCACCAAUAUACUAAUUAUUAAAUCAUUUUAUUGACGAUAAGUCUUUGAGAGCUUUCACCACCAAGUACUCGAGAUCAUGAAGUUCGUCCUCCUCGCCCUCCUCUUUUCUCUCAACUUGCAUCUUGUAAGAUCUCUAGUAGAAUGCGAUGCGAGUGGCUGCGAGCUCAAGAACUAUCUCAGAGGUCCAUGGCCAGAUCGCAGGCCUUGCAAGAUCACCAAGGCGUUCUUCCCGACCAACGAGGCCGAGCUCCUCGACGCCGUGGCCUACGCAGUCAAGAGCAAGCAGAAGAUCAAAGUGGUAAGCAGGGAGGCACAUACCAUGACCAAAUUCGCGUGUCCAAACUCCGGAUCCGACACAGGGGGGGUUGUCAUCAGCACCGCUAGCUUCAACUCCAACUCGAGCGUCGUUGUCGACAAGAGCUCUAUGACGGUCUCCACACCCCCUGGAAUCAUGCUUGGCGAGCUUAUCGAUCUCCUGGCGAUGCAAGGCGUGACUUUGCACCAGACCAUCGCCUGGGACGGCGUGUCGCCGGCGGGCAUGGUGAGCGCGGGGGCCCAUGGCAGCAGCCUUUGGGGUCGCGGCGGAGGAACUUACGAGUACCUCGUGUCCAUGAGAAUCGUCGUUCCGGCCUCCAAGAACGAAGGCUUUGCUAAAGUUGUCACGGUCGCGGAGGGGAGUGAUCUGUUCCACGACGCCAGGAUCUCGCUGGGAGUUCUUGGAGCUGUUUCCCAGCUGACGUUCUCCGUACAGCCCAUGACGAAGAGGUCUGUGACGCUGUCGGUGGCGGACGAUGCGUCUCUGGAAGAGGACUUCUUGACACUGGCUCGGGAGCGCGAGUUUGCGGAAGUGUCGUGGUACAGCUCGCAGAAGAAAUUUGGGAAGAAAUGCACAAUACAGCACGCUCACUCCUUGCUUCCUCCGUGGCGCUUAGUCACGCCCAGCUCUGCACCCUAAAUGUUUAACGCUAAAUUUUAAUUAGUAGAUGCUGUUAACGGAUAUGUUAAGGACUAUAAUUUUAUAAUUAGCCAGUGAAUGAACGGCUAUAAUUUAUAAGUAUAUAACCUACGAUUGGUUUAGGUUUUUCCUCAUUGUGUUUUAUGUUUGUGCUCCUUAUAUUUUCUUUCUUAUUUUAUUCAUUCUCUUUAGUAUUAUGGUUAGACUAAUUGCUUUGCUUAUUUUAUUCAUUCUCUUUAGUAUUGGAAUAUUCUUUUAGUUUUUGUAUUACUGUUGGUCUUCUUCCACAAGAGAGAGAAAGGAAGCUACAUUUAAUAUUCUAUGUAGUCAUAUUAAGCUAUACAAUCAAGAUAAUGCUGUUAUAGUAGAAUAAAUAAUAUAUUUGAUUUUGUACUUUUAAAUACUUAAAAAUAGUUGAAAAUAAUAUACAGUAAUGAGGUGGCAUGUGCAUGUAAGCAAUGAGGUGGCAUGCAAAUCCAAAUAAGCAAACGGGGCCCACCCUAAAUAAAGGGGGGUCAUUCUACCCGAAAUUUGUGUCGAGGAUCGAUGACAAAGCGCCACUCUCGGUGCCAGGAAAUGGCGCUGCAGCUCUGUUUCUUCCCGUCCAGGCUGCUGCUGCCAGGAGUUCAAGUCCUCUAUAUCCCUGUCCCGGAUUUUCCUUUCCUUUCGUGCUCUCCGACUGAUCUUAAAAUUGAAUGUUUUCCAGAAGAAGCAGCUGAAGCGAUUGGGAAUUCAACCUUCUUCUGCUCCGUUGCUAAGAACACCGUAAACACCAUUACUUCCACGGGUGGCGCAUUAUUCAAUGAUGAGCAGCAGCAACAUUUCUCGGGAUUCCCUGUGGUCGGAUACUUCCACAAGUUUCAAGCUCGAGGAGGCUGCCAGUACACCUACAGCAACUCCACCAAUUUGGCUCUUCCGGAGUCUGAGAGGCUCGUCUGCGGCCAGGACUUCCGAGCAUAUGGCCAAUUCUGGUUCCACGUCUCGGUAUCUAUCUCCAUCAGCGACGUCGGCAGCUUUAUCCGGGACGUGAAGCAGUUGAGAGACUUAUCACCAGAACGUCUUUGUCUGCUUGAUACUACCCUUAGAUUCUUGAAAGCUUCUCAGGCUUACCUUGGACCGAAGAAUGACGCGGCACAGAUUGAGUUCAUUACGUUCCGAGACAGGAGGCCAGGGGAACCACAGACGUACGAGGACGUUGCUGAGGAGAUAGAGCAGCUCUUACUGUUUAAGUAUAACAGGAAGCCACACUUCGGGAAGAACAGGCCACAUGCAUUCCGGGACAUUGGAAGGAAGACAAAUAAUUUGUCUAAGUUUCUUUUGGCAAGGAAUAAGUUGGAUCCACAAGGAUGGUUUUCAAGUGAUUGGCCUGACUCAGUGCUGGGAAUUCGAGGAAGCCCGGUGACCACAAAUGAUGGAUGUGCUUUGGAAGGACUGUGUGUUUGCAGCGAAGCCAGGCACUGUGCUCCAGACAAAGGAUAGUUUUGCAGACCAGGAGUUGUUUAUCGCGAGGCAAGAGUCUGCAGCAAUAGAAGUUAAGAUGCAUCAUUUCUCCUUGUUUGUUGUUCAGUUCUGAGAUGUGCUCAGCAAUUGUUUUAGUGUAAGGAAUAUACUUAAAAUAAAAGUCAUUCCAGACAGUUCCACUUCUUUGUUGAACCUGCUUUCUGCAAUACGUCUGUAACCAUAGAAGUCGUCCAUCUCUGGCAUCCCUUCAAGAGAAAAAUCUCUGGCCUUGAUCAUCCUCCUGUUCUUGAGCUAGGCCGUGAGAGAUGCGUCCUCUCACAUUGAAGAUCUCCCUUGCGGCAACAAUCUCCAGUUUGGGCGACCAUUGUUGUCCAUGACACGAUGCCUCUUGGGCUCAAUCUAGCCUUGUUAACCGCUUUGAGGAACUUUUCAGAUAAAUAUUUAAAUUUAUAUCUAUCAAUAAGCUGCCUAGAUUUUUUCCUUGCUGUAGAUUGAAAGGAAGAGGAGGAGGCUAAGGUAGCAGGCCAGCAUCAAGUGAGGGUAGGUCAAGAAGAAGGUGGAGUUGAACCCACAAUCAACUUAUAUGUGGAUUUAAACAGCUUUAAAUAGAUAUAAAUUAGUUUCAGCUCAAGCCCAUCAAACAAAAACUACGAGCAUGCAUUCUGAAUAUCUGGGGUUUAUACUAAAAGUUUGUGAGUGUGUACAACUUAAGUCUAGGGCACCCAAAAUAUUCCAUUCAGUCAUAUUAGGCAAACAUGAAAAAACACCAUUUGGUACCGAAUGGUGUUUUUUGGGUUAUAAUUGGAAGCAAGCAAUUUGUACACCAUUUACAAGCACAAUUAAGAGAAGAUUGAGUUGUUGUUUUUGUCAUAGAGUCAAAAAAGGCUUAAAGCUAUAUUAAGUGUUUCAAGUGUGUUAUGAUUAUAGAUUUCAAGUUGCGGUGAUCUCCAUAGUUUUGCAGAAGAAAGUUUUUAUAAAUUUCAAUUUUAUGAUAUAAUGACUUAUUUUGGAGAGACUUGAAUGCUCAAACUUGAAUAACUCAUAUGAUGAAAUUGUAUGAUUUAAUAAUAUGUCCUUUAAAAGUAUAAAUAACAAUGAGAAUGUGUGCUAACAUGCUAGAUGUUCUUUUGAAUAAGGGAUUUCCAGAAAGGUUUUAGCAUAGACUCUGUAAACAUCAUAAUCAUGCAAAAUGAGAAACAUUUUGUGUUUAAAUUUUUUAUAAGUGAUUAAUAACUAUAUAUUUUAAGUAUAUGCUCCGAAUAUAUGCUGAGGUGGCUGCUGCCGUAAUUAAAUUGCACAUCAUAACCCAUCUAUAGGACAUGCAUGGGAUAUUCAUUUCACAAAUUGCACACCAUACUAACUACUCUUUGCUAGCCAGUGUAGGCUUUGUCAACCAACCAGCAUUUAUUUCUAAUAUACUAAUUAUCAAAUGAUUUCACUGACGUAAGUCAAGGUGGCAUUUGAUAGAAAAUGAUCCAUAAAUCUUUGAGAGCUUUCACCAACAAGUACUCGAGAUCAUGAAGUUCGUCCUCCUCGCCCUCCUCUUUUCUCUCAACUUGCAUCUUGUAAGAUCUCUAGUAGAAUGCGAUGCGAGUGGCUGCGAGCUCAAGAACUAUCUCAGAGGUCCAUGGCCAGAUCGCAGGCCUUGCAAGAUCACCAAGGCGUUCUUCCCGACCAACGAGGCCGAGCUCCUCGACGCCGUGGCCUACGCAGUCAAGAGCAAGCAGAAGAUCAAAGUGAUAAGCAGGGAGGCACAUACCAUGACCAAAUUCGCGUGUCCAAACUCCGGAUCCGACACAGGGGGAGUUGUCAUCAGCACCGCUAGCUUCAACUCCAACUCGAGCGUCGUCGUCGACAAGAGCUCCAUGACGGCCUCCACACCCCCUGGAAUCAUGCUUGGCGAGCUCAUGGAUCUCCUGGCGAUGCAAGGCGUGACUUUGCACCAGACCAUCGACUGGGACGGCGCGUCGCCAGCGGGCAUGGUGAGCACGGGGGCUCACGGCAGCAGCCUGUGGAGUCGCGGCGGAGGAACUUACGAGUACCUCGUGUCCAUGAGAAUCGUCGUCCCGGCCUCCGAGAAGGAAGGCUUUGCCAAAGUUGUCACGGUCGCGGAGGGAGAUGACCUGUUCGACGCCGCCAGGAUCUCGCUGGGAGUUCUUGGAGCUAUUUCCCAGCUGACGUUCUCCGUACAGCCCAUGACGAAGAGGUCUGUGACGCUGUCGGUGGCGGACGAUGCGUCGCUGGAGGACGACUUCUUGAGGCUGGCUCGGGAGCACGAGUUUGGGGAAGUGUUGUGGUACAGCUCGCAGAAGAAAUACGUGUGGAGGACCGAUGACAGAGCGCCACUCUCGGUGCCAGGAAAUGGGGCUUUGAUUAGAGUUCCGUUUCUUCCCGUGCAGGCUGCUGCUGCUAGGAGUUCAAGACUGAGCCGUCAGUUCUCUUUAUCCACGUCCCUGUUUCCUUCUUUCCAAAUCUUCCUUUCCUGCUGCUUCCGACUGAUCUUAAAUUGUCUGUUCCAGAAGAAGCAGCUGAAACGAUUGGAAAUUCAACCUUCUUUUGCUCCGCGGCUAAGAACACGGUAAACACCAUCACUUCCACGGGUGGCGGAUUCGUCAACGAUGAGCAGCAGCAACGUUUCUCGGGAUUCCCUGUGGUCGGAUACUUCCACAAGUUUCAAGCUCGCGGAGGCUGCCAGUACACCUACAGCAACUCCACC